Molecule: ribosomal RNA, 497 nt
Filed under: uncultured bacterium
Lineage: Bacteria
Description: partial 16S ribosomal RNA
Rfam family: Bacterial small subunit ribosomal RNA
Source: RNAcentral
GAUGAACGCUGGCGGCGUGCCUAAUACAUGCAAGUCGAGCGAACAGACGAGGAGCUUGCUCCUCUGACGUUAGCGGCGGACGGGUGAGUAACACGUGGAUAACCUACCUAUAAGACUGGGAUAACUUCGGGAAACCGGAGCUAAUACCGGAUAAUAUAUUGAACCGCAUGGUUCAAUAGUGAAAGACGGUUUUGCUGUCACUUAUAGAUGGAUCCGCGCCUCAUUAGCUAGUUGGUAAGGUAACGGCUUACCAAGGCAACGAUGCGUAGCCGACCUGAGAGGGGGAUCGGCCACACUGGAACUGAGACACGGUCCAGACUCCUACGGGAGGCAGCAGUAGGGAAUCUUCCGCAAUGGGCGAAAGCUUGACGGAGCAACGCCGCGUGAGUGAUGAAGGUCUUCGGAUCGUAAAACUCUGUUAUUAGGGAAGAACAAAUGUGUAAGUAACUAUGCACGUCUUGACGGUACCUAAUCAGAAAGCCACGGCUAACUACGUG